RNAcentral lists this ribosomal RNA (482 nucleotides) under uncultured bacterium. RNAcentral's name for it is "partial 16S ribosomal RNA". It matches the Rfam family "Bacterial small subunit ribosomal RNA", at positions 28 to 507 of the family's 1533-position model. The record is from RNAcentral.
GACGAACGCUGGCGGCGUGCUUAACACAUGCAAGUCGAACGCUGAAGCUCAGCUUUUGUUGGGUGGAUGAGUGGCGAACGGGUGAGUAACACGUGAGUAACCUGCCUCCUUCUUUGGAUAACGCCCGGAAACGGGUGCUAAUACUGGAUAUUCACUGGUCUUCGCAUGGGGGUUGGUGGAAAGGGUUUUUCUGGUGGGGGAUGGGCUCGCGGCCUAUCAGCUUGUUGGUGGGGUGAUGGCCUACCAAGGCUUUGACGGGUAGCCGGCCUGAGAGGGUGACCGGUCACAUUGGGACUGAGAUACGGCCCAGACUCCUACGGGAGGCAGCAGUGGGGAAUAUUGCACAAUGGGCGCAAGCCUGAUGCAGCGACGCCGCGUGAGGGAUGGAGGCCUUAGGGUUGUGAACCUCUUUCGCUCAUGGUCAAGCCGCAACAAUGGUUGUGGUGAGGGUAGUGGGUAAAGAAGCGCCGGCUAACUACGUG